Non-coding RNA from Ictidomys tridecemlineatus (thirteen-lined ground squirrel), 284 nucleotides. NCBI's taxonomy places the organism in Eukaryota, Metazoa, Chordata, Mammalia, Rodentia, Sciuridae. The record is from RefSeq and is a predicted model, not a curated record.
GUGCUGACCCAGACUCCAGCCUCUGUGGCUUUGUCUCCAGGGGAAAGAGUCACCCUCACCUGCAAGACCAGUCAGAGUGUUGGAAGCUACUUAGCCUGGUACCAGCAGAAGCCUGGGCAAGCUCCCAGAUGCCUCAUCUAUGGUGCCUCUAGCAGGGCCAGUGGCAUCCCAGCCCGGUUCAGUGGCAGUGCGUCAGGGACAGACUACACUCUCUCCAUCAGCAGCUUGGAGCCUGAGGAUGCUGCAGUUUAUUACUGUCAGCAGGUUGGCAACUGGCCUUUCAC